CCUACGGGUGGCAGCAGUAGGGAAUAUUGCUCAAUGGGGGAAACCCUGAAGCAGCCAAGUAGCGUGAAGGAUGACUGCCCUAUGGGUUGUAAACUUCUUUUAUAUGGGAAUAAAAUGUUCCACGUGUGGGAUUUUGUAUGUACCAUAUGAAUAAGGAUCGGCUAACUCCGUGCCAGCAGCCGCGGUAAUACGGAGGAUCCGAGCGUUAUCCGGAUUUAUUGGGUUUAAAGGGAGCGUAGGUGGAUUGUUAAGUCAGUUGUGAAAGUUUGCGGCUCAACCGCAAAAUUGCAGUUGAAACUGGCAGUCUUGAGUACAGUAGAGGUGGGCGGAAUUCGUGGUGUAGCGGUGAAAUGCUUAGAUAUCACGAAGAACUCCGAUUGCGAAGGCAGUUCACUGGACUGCAACUGACACUGAGGCUCGAAAGUGUGGGUAUCAAACAGGAUUAGAUACCCCGGUAGUC
This 460-nucleotide ribosomal RNA is filed under the name uncultured bacterium. RNAcentral's name for it is "partial 16S ribosomal RNA". It matches the Rfam family "Bacterial small subunit ribosomal RNA", at positions 338 to 795 of the family's 1533-position model. The record is from RNAcentral.